This 253-nucleotide ribosomal RNA is filed under the name uncultured bacterium. RNAcentral's name for it is "partial 16S ribosomal RNA". It matches the Rfam family "Bacterial small subunit ribosomal RNA", at positions 524 to 776 of the family's 1533-position model. The record is from RNAcentral.
GACAGAGGGUGCAAACGUUGCUCGGAAUCACUGGGCGUAAAGGGCGUGUAGGCGGGUAGAUAAGGCGGGCGUGAAAUCCCUAGGCUCAACCUAGGAACUGCACUCGAAACUGUUUAUCUUGAGUGCCGGAGAGGAAAGCGGAAUUCCUGGUGUAGAGGUGAAAUUCGUAGAUAUCAGGAGGAACACCAGUGGCGAAGGCGGCUUUCUGGACGGUAACUGACGCUGAGACGCGAAAGCGUGGGGAGCAAACAGG